AUUGAACGCUGGCGGAAUGCUUUACACAUGCAAGUCGAACGGCAGCACGGACAUCGGUCUGGUGGCGAGUGGCGAACGGGUGAGUAAUGUAUCGGAACGUGCCCAGUCGUGGGGGAUAACGUAGUGAAAAUUACGCUAAUACCGCAUACGAUCUAUGGAUGAAAGCGGGGGAUCGCAAGACCUCGCGCGAUUGGAGCGGCCGAUAUCAGAUUAGGUAGUUGGUGGGGUAAAGGCCCACCAAGCCAACGAUCUGUAGCUGGUCUGAGAGGACGACCAGCCACACUGGAACUGAGACACGGGCCAGACUCCUACGGGAGGCAGCAGUGGGGAAUUUUGGACAAUGGGCGAAAGCCUGAUCCAGCCAUUCCGCGUGCAGGAUGAAGGCCCUCGGGUUGUAAACUGCUUUUGUACAGAACGAAAAGGUUUCUACUAAUACUAGGAGCUCAUGACGGUACUGUAAGAAUAAGCACCGGCUAACUACGUGCCAGCAGCCGCAGUAA
Molecule: ribosomal RNA, 500 nt
Filed under: uncultured bacterium
Lineage: Bacteria
Description: partial 16S ribosomal RNA
Rfam family: Bacterial small subunit ribosomal RNA
Source: RNAcentral